Molecule: ribosomal RNA, 505 nt
Filed under: uncultured bacterium
Lineage: Bacteria
Description: bacterial SSU rRNA
Rfam family: Bacterial small subunit ribosomal RNA
Source: RNAcentral
UAGUCCACGCUGUAAACGAUGAGAACUAGCCGUUGGGAUAUUGAAUUCUGGUGGCGCAGCAAACGCGAUAAGUUCUCCGCCUGGGGAGUACGGCCGCAAGGUUAAAACUCAAAUGAAUUGACGGGGGCCCGCACAAGCGGUGGAGCAUGUGGUUUAAUUCGAUGCAACGCGAAGAACCUUACCUACCCUUGACAUCCUUGGGAUCUUGUAGAGAUAUGAGAGUGCCUUCGGGAACCGAGUGACAGGUGCUGCAUGGCUGUCGUCAGCUCGUGUCGUGAGAUGUUGGGUUAAGUCCCGUAACGAGCGCAACCCUUGUCCCUAUUUGCUAACAGUUUGGCUGAGAACUCUAGGGAGACUGCCGGUGUUAAGCCGGAGGAAGGCGGGGAUGACGUCAAGUCCUCAUGGCCCUUACGGGUAGGGCUACACACGUGCUACAAUGGCAGUGACAGAGGGAUAAUCCCCAAAAACUGUCUCAGUUCGGAUUGCACUCUGCAACUCGAGUGCA